This is an RNA transcript of Ziziphus jujuba (common jujube), 2481 nucleotides long. It is a transcript of the gene named ABC transporter E family member 2, with no coding region annotated. The transcript is spliced from 13 exons. NCBI's taxonomy places the organism in Eukaryota, Viridiplantae, Streptophyta, Magnoliopsida, Rosales, Rhamnaceae. The record is from RefSeq and is a predicted model, not a curated record.
GGGUUGGCUGGCUUCCAUCUGAAAAUCUCUGCUUUUGGAACUGGUGGAGGUGUCGUGUGGAUUGUGCGUGUGCAGUCAGCUUUCCACAUAUACCUUCUCUCUCGUCAUCUCAGGAGAGGAGGAAGAAGAGGAGAAGGAGGAAUCUCAAUUUUCUAAAUCUCAUAGCGACACAGUUUGAGAAGAAGAAGAAGAAGAAGAAGAAGAAGAGAGAUGGCGGAUCGGUUAACGCGUAUAGCCAUAGUGAGCUCAGAUAGGUGUAAGCCCAAGAAGUGCCGCCAAGAAUGCAAAAAAAGCUGUCCUGUCGUCAAAACUGGUAAACUAUGUAUUGAGGUUACCCCUGCUUCCAAAAUUGCUUUCAUCUCUGAGGAGCUGUGCAUUGGUUGUGGUAUCUGUGUUAAGAAAUGCCCAUUUGAAGCAAUACAGAUUAUUAACUUGCCAAAAGAUUUGGACAAAGAUACAACCCAUCGUUAUGGUCCUAACACAUUCAAAUUACACAGGUUACCAGUCCCAAGACCAGGUCAAGUUCUUGGCUUGGUUGGAACUAAUGGCAUUGGGAAGUCAACUGCCCUCAAAGUUUUGGCUGGCAAACUAAAACCAAACUUAGGGCGCUUCAAUAAUCCUCCAGACUGGCAGGAGAUCUUGACCUAUUUCCGAGGAUCGGAACUCCAAAAUUAUUUUACUCGUAUCCUGGAGGAUAAUUUGAAGGCAAUUAUAAAGCCUCAAUAUGUUGAUCACAUUCCAAAAGCAGUUCAAGGCAACGUGGGUCAGGUGCUUGACCAAAAAGAUGAGAGAGAUGUAAAGGAAGAACUCUGCGUUGAUCUGGACUUGAAGCAGGUUAUAGAUCGUAAUGUAGGAGAUCUAUCUGGAGGAGAGCUUCAGAGAUUUGCCAUUGCUGUUGUUGCCAUACAAAACGCUGAGAUAUAUAUGUUUGAUGAGCCUUCAAGCUAUCUUGAUGUGAAGCAGAGGCUUAAAGCAGCUCAAGUUAUUCGAUCUUUGCUCAGGCCUAAUAGCUAUGUAAUUGUUGUGGAGCAUGACCUAAGUGUUCUAGAUUAUUUAUCGGACUUCAUUUGCUGUUUAUAUGGGAAACCGGGUGCUUAUGGAGUUGUAACCCUUCCCUUCUCAGUCAGAGAAGGAAUCAACAUUUUCUUGGCUGGAUUUGUUCCCACGGAAAAUCUUCGAUUCCGAGAUGAAUCUCUUACCUUCAAGGUUGCUGAGACUCCUCAGGAGAAUGCUGAGGAAGUUCAAACAUAUGCACGAUACAAAUACCCUACCAUGAAUAAAACUCAAGGAAAUUUUAAGCUUCGUGUAGUUGAGGGUGAAUUUACUGAUUCGCAAAUUAUUGUCAUGCUGGGAGAAAAUGGCACAGGGAAGACAACCUUUAUUCGUAUGCUGGCUGGUAUGUUGAAACCUGAUUCUGUGGAAGGUUCCGAUGUGGAAAUACCUGAGUUUAAUGUUUCAUACAAGCCCCAGAAAAUCAGUCCCAAGUUUCCAUCUACUGUCAGACACUUGCUAAUUCAAAAAAUCCGAGAUUCAUAUACUCAUCCCCAGUUUAUAUCAGAUGUGAUGAAGCCUCUUCUUAUUGAACAAUUGAUGGAUCAAGAAGUUGUCAAUCUUUCUGGUGGGGAGCUGCAAAGAGUUGCAUUGUGUCUAUGCCUUGGAAAGCCUGCUGAUAUUUAUCUGAUCGAUGAACCUAGUGCCUAUCUUGAUUCGGAGCAGCGUAUUGUUGCUUCCAAGGUCAUAAAAAGGUUUAUCCUCCAUGCAAAGAAAACUGCCUUUGUGGUUGAGCAUGAUUUUAUAAUGGCAACUUAUCUGGCAGAUAGAGUUAUUGUGUACGAGGGGAGGCCAUCAAUUGAUUGUACUGCAAAUUCUCCCCAGUCAUUGUUGACUGGGAUGAAUCUCUUCUUAUCUCAUUUGGAUAUCACAUUCAGAAGGGACCCAACUAAUUACCGCCCAAGGAUUAAUAAACUGGAGUCUACCAAGGACAGGGAACAAAAAUCUGCUGGGUCCUACUAUUACCUUGAUGAUUAAUAUAUACAGAGGCACUGUUCAUUCAUGACCACUAUCCUCUUUACCUACACAUUAUUUGGCAUCCAUGGCAGUUGUGUGGCUUUGCUGCAUCCUUAAAUAUUGCUGAUGAGAGGUGUUUCAUUAAUGAAGUGUAGCUGUUUUGUUUCUGAAAAGAGUUUGCAGUGGCCUUACAAUUUAGUGAUGCUGAUUCAGUCUACUUCCACCUACAGUGUGCUUGCCAUUGUCCAGUUUUGGUAUGGAUAUUAGGUGAAUGGAUCUGAGUUGUACUUAAAAGAAUUUGUUUGUCUAACCAUUUUUGGUAUGAAAUUAGUUACUAGACUAGAUGUUCUCUGCGGAGCAAAGAAAGUGAUCAUUUCAAAUUGAGUUAUAACGAUAUAGACUUUUUUACUUUUGUAAUUUAUGGUUGCUUUAAUUUGUGUUGAAUUUAUUUAGUAGAAAUUGUAUUUCUGGCUC